Long non-coding RNA from Pseudopipra pipra, 724 nucleotides. RefSeq lists it as uncharacterized. The transcript has 3 exons. The record is from RefSeq and is a predicted model, not a curated record. Lineage: Eukaryota; Metazoa; Chordata; Aves; Passeriformes; Pipridae.
UGUAUUGAAACCAAGCCUGGAGCUCUGGGUGUGGAUACAGCCUCCAGCCUAGUAAAUCCCAGUGUGUGGCUGUGGAUGACAGAGCUGGUGGUGGCACCCUGGGGAGGUAAACCUGGGUACUUUGUGCCCCUUCUUCUCCUCACUGGGGGCAGAGAUUUGGGCUGAGAGACCCUUGGUCUGAGGCCCAAUGGCCAUUCGUAGAGACAUAGCCUGCUUUUAUCUUUUCCAGAGAGAGUAACCUGAGCUGUAAUAAAUUCUAGUUGCUGAGGGAGUGGGGCAGAGGACCCAUGCUUCACAAUCCAGUUCCCUUUGGAACAUUUCCCUGCACACCUUCUCCACCUGCCCCUGUACCCAGAAUGGGAGCGUGGAAUGAAGCAAGGGGAGAGAUCAGCACAGACCAGUCUUUGGGAAGGGAAGGGCUGGACUCUCAAACCAGCAGGCAGCUCUGGCAUCCCUGGAUGUGUUCACACUGCUCUUCCCAGGUCCCAGGGAGGUUAGGAGCUCAGCAGGAUGCCUUUGACAGAGCAGCUGGAAUGGGCAGCUUUAAGCAUCAGUGUCUGGAAUUGCAAGAAAGAAGAGGCACAUCUGUCCUCCCAAGAGGUGUCAGUAUUUCUGAAACAUCGCUUGGACAUGCUACUUCCUAGACGGAAUCUUCCAUCAUUGCCCUCCCUUCCCUGGAGCACCACACUGAGUGUGGCCAUGACAUGCUGGCAUGGAACUUACC